AACGCAUAUUGCACCCCCUGGCAUUCCGGGGGGUACACCUGUUCGAGCGCCAUUUCAUACUUCAAGUUUGACUUGGUGUUGGGGGGUCAUCCGGUGGGAUGCCCCCUAAACUUUUAGGCCACCCCCCUAAUUUAGGGCGUCGCGAAAUUAAUUUGUCGCUAAAAAUGACGGGGGGUGUGUCAAAAAUUAGUGGGAAAUUCACUUUUUUGGGAAACACACACUAAAAUUUAGUGGGAAACUUGUUAAUUUUAGCGGGUUCCCCCUAUUUUUUAUUUUGUGACCCCCUAAUUUAGUGGGUACCCCUUAAAUAUUGAAAACUUAUAGAGGGUAACCCCCUAAAUAGUCUUCGAAUUUACUGGGUACCCCCCUAAUUUUCUAAGUUUGGCCUCGGAUCAGGUGGGGAUACCCGCUGAACUUAA
This 419-nucleotide unclassified non-coding RNA is filed under the name uncultured fungus. Its description in RNAcentral is "sequence contains ITS2". The record is from RNAcentral. Lineage: Eukaryota; Fungi.